UCUGGGAAGUGAGGAGCCCCUCUGCCCGGCCACCAACCUGUCUGGGAGGUGUACCCAACAGCGCAUUGAGAACGGGCCAUGAUGACGAUGGCAGUUUUGUGGAAUAGAAAAGGGGGAAAGGUGGGGAAAAGAUAGAGAAAUCAGAUUGUUGCUGUGUCUGUGUAGAAAGAAGUAGACAUGGGAGACUUCAUUUUGUUCUGUACUAAGAAAAAUUUUUCUGCCUUGGGAUGCUGUUGAUCUAUGACCUUACCCCCAACCCUGUGCUCUCUGAAACAUGUGCUGUGUCCACUCAGGGUUCAAUGGAUUAAGGGCGGUGCAAGAUGUGCUUUGUUAAACAGAUGCUUGAAGGCAGCAUGCUCGUUAAGAGUCAUCACCACUCCCUAAUCUCAAGUACCCAGGGACACAAACACCUCGGAAGGCCGCAGGGUCCUCUGCCUAGGAAAACCAGAGACCUUUGUUCACUUGUUUAUCUGCUGACCUUCCCUCCACUAUUGUCCUAUGACCCUGCCAAAUCCCCCUCUGUGAG
This 526-nucleotide long non-coding RNA is filed under the name Homo sapiens (human). Its description in RNAcentral is "HSALNT0362907". The record is from RNAcentral. Lineage: Eukaryota; Metazoa; Chordata; Mammalia; Primates; Hominidae.